Molecule: long non-coding RNA, 1518 nt
Organism: Zea mays
Lineage: Eukaryota; Viridiplantae; Streptophyta; Magnoliopsida; Poales; Poaceae
Exons: 11
Source: RefSeq, a predicted model, not a curated record
UUAUUCGUGCACCUUCUAGAGUGACGCAUGGGAAAAUCUCUCCAGUUCAUUACGAUGAGGAAUUGGGAAAUUCCUUAUUCAAUUGCUUGCCAAAAUGUCGUGCGGUACUACAAGCAGAACGCCGAUGAAACAUGGGUCGACGUCUCGCUGAAUAGCCUGCUUCCAGGCUCAGUCCUCAAUUGCCAGCGCCAGCUGUCAGGAUGUCUCAUCUAGGAAAAGCCUAAUGGCUACUCAAAGGUGGAACACGUUGAGGUGGACGAUAGGUCAGAGCACAACAUCUACAAGCUGUUGGGGGCAAGCAACAGUUCUGCAGUUGUACAGAAGCACUGACCAUAGACAGUGAAUUUGUUAAUGCACUUACAGAGAGGUCAGGCUAAACUUCUCUCAGAAGGUUGGGAAGGAGGAUCUAAAAGAGGCUGCUUAGAAAUCUCCACAGGGGCAGGGGGUAGGAUCCUAGCUGUAACUGUUCCAUAGGGAGGCUAGCUGCAUACAUUGGUUUCAGAUGAAUUUUGGAGCAUGUUUCCUCCUCAAAUAUCACUUCUUCUUUAGGAAGCCCAAUUGAAAAAGCUGUAGAUCUAAUUUGAUUCUUCCUUUCCUCCCGUGGUGGGAUCAAUCAAAUACGAAAUGGCCAAGAACUGCUGACGAUGAUGACAACGUGGCCACCAUCGCCGCCCUCAGACAAAGAAGCUAGAGAUAAUAAAGGGGUCUCUAAGAAAGAAUUUCUAUCUGAAAAUCUUUUCACCAAAUGUCCUAGACAUCACCAUGGUUGACCUCCCUGGAAUAACAUGUACCUGUGCCACUUGGAGAUCAGCCCAGUGAUAUUGAGUCAAGAAUAAGAGCAAUGACCAUACAAUACAUUAGGCAUCUAAGUUGUAUUAUCUUCGUUGUUUCUCCUGCAAAUGCUGACUUAGCUCAUUCUGAUGCUCUCCAACUAGCAAGGCUUGCUGAUCCUAAUGGGUCUCGUACAAUCCUUCCUAUCACUAAGGGGCACUCAUGCUCGUAACUUGUUCCUAGGAAAUGUGAUUCCAGUCAAGUUUGGUUAUGUAAGUGUUGUAAAUCGCAAUCAAGAGAUUGAUGUCUACAUUCACAAGGAACAAACAAUGGAAGCAAGCAUCAAGGGUGUGUGAGGAAGUUCUGUCAUGCCUACCAAAUUUCACCACCCUCUGUCAACCAACUAAUUCAUGGUGGGAUGACGAUGGUGUGAACUGUAAAGAGGCAGGUGGCUCAACUUCUCGAUCCAGUGGUGCGAAGCCUCAAUCAACAUUGUUCAGGGUGUUGUCAGCCAGAUUCGGCAUUAGCAGUAGCCCACGACUGUUCUAGCUGCCCCAAAAAUAUCAGUUGGCAUGAGGGAAGAUACAAACAACAUCUCUGGCCUGGUUAGCUAUGAGUGUCCCAAAGUCAUCAUGUAGGAGAGACACCAUGGAUUGGAUUUGCAAGGUGGAAAAAAAGAAAUACUUUAGAAUUUGUUGGUUCUUGCAUCUCAAUCCUUCUAUCUAAUGGAAAAAUUGAUUUGUUUUA